ACGGCUCAGUAACACGUGGCUAACCUGCCCUUGGGACGGGAACACCCCCGGGAAACUGGGGCUAAUCCCCGAUAGGUGAAGAACUCCGGAAUGAGUCUUCGCCCAAAAGGCGUCGGAUCAUGCUUUCGGCGUCGCCCAAGGAUGGGGCCGCGACCGAUCAGGUUGUUGGUGAGGUAACGGCCCACCAAGCCUAUAACCGGUGCGGGCCGUGAGAGCGGGAGCCCGGAGAUGGGCACUGAGACAAGGGCCCAGGUCCUACGGGGCGCAGCAGUCGCGAAACCUUUGCAAUACACGAAAGUGUGACAGGGUCAUCCCGAGUGCCGACCGCUGAGGUUGGCUUUUACCCAGUCUAGAAAGCUGGGGGAAUAAGGAGAGGGCAAGUCUGGUGUCAGCCGCCGCGGUAAUACCAGCUCUCCGAGUGGUGUGGAUGUUUAUUGGGCCUAAAGCAUCCGUAGCUGGCUAGGUAAGUCCCUUGUUAAAUCCACCGAAUUAAUCGUUGGAUCGCGGGGGAUACUGCUUGGCUAGGGGACGAGAGAGGCAGACGGUAUUUUCGGGGUAGGGGUGAAAUCCUAUAAUCCCGGGAAGACCACCAGUGGCGAAGGCUGUCUGCUAGAACGCGCCCGACGGUGAGGGAUGAAAGCUGGGGGAGCGAACCGGAUUAGAUACCCGGGUAGUCCCAGCUGUAAACGAUGCAGACUAGGUGUUUGGACGGCCACGUGCCGUUCUAGUGCCGCAGGGAAGCUGUUAAGUCUGCCGCCUGGGGAGUACGAUCGCAAGAUUGAAACUUAAAGGAAUUGGCGGGGGAGCAC
This 809-nucleotide ribosomal RNA is filed under the name uncultured archaeon. RNAcentral describes it as "bacterial SSU rRNA". It matches the Rfam family "Archaeal small subunit ribosomal RNA", at positions 85 to 879 of the family's 1478-position model. The record is from RNAcentral.